CUCCCAGACCACUUUUCAGAUCAGAAAACCCUUCUGAAUGGGUAUAUUGUAAUGCAUCUUUCUAUAAACAAUGUGAAAACUGUUUAAACCGAACUUAUCCUUUAAAAGCCAAAGAUUCAUUGCUCGUGUUUCCUAUUUUUGUUUGUGCAGAAUUUCACAGUCCAGACACUGGAAGCCAAGCGACCACACCCACCAGGAGUUUGUCGCCGGCUGUCUCUAAUAAGCCUGCAGAUGUCAGUCCUCCAAAAAGGGACAGUCCAGCAAUCAUGGCCAAGCACUACAAGACCCUCCAGGCUUUGUAUAAGAAAAAGAAACCAAACCACGAGUCUGUCUCUCAGCUCCUGGACUUGGAAUUUCCAGCCAGACGAGCAUUCAUUGAUUCUGAUGCAAUUAGUGAGGAGAACAGACCUGGACAAAUUCUGGAGGCAUAUCCUUGUUUUAAGGAAAUUGGACAUGUAAGUUGUAUUAGCAAGGCAUAAAUAACAUAGAAAUACCAAGCAGAACUAUAUUUUAUAUUGCAAUUUCAGUGGACUAAUAUAUAUUUCUGGCUGGUAUAUUCAAUGUUUCAUAGGUGAUGGAAGAGCUUCGGCGCAUCUUGGACAAGGACAACACCCAAUACAUCAACCAGGUGAAGGAAAGAUGGCACGACUUCUCCCAGAACGUGCAGUUUUUUGGGAUGUGGAAAAAGCUGCUGAAAUCCCCAAUGGGAAUGGAGAAAACUGAACAGGCUGUUGGAAUCCUUCGUUUGCUGCCAUUGUUGUUCCCCUCUGGAUCUGCUCCGGUUAAGAAACGUGGAGAUCCAAGUGAAGCUCUUGUGCAUGUUCUUGAGGACAAUGAAGACCCCGGCACCUACUUGACGAAGCGCCCUCUCUCCUGUCCAGUGCUGAUUGUGAGUCCAUGCAACUGCCUCCUGGCCGUGGGAGAUGUGCCAGUGACGACGUUCCCAAAAGAGCAGGUCACCGAGGGUGCUUUACACCUCAUGGCCUACUAUUAUGCUCUACACCUCACUUACCCCAAGUGCAUAGCCACACUGCUUUCCAUCAUACAAACGGAGGUCCUUCAUGACGCCAUCCAUGAGAAAGACCUCACACCAGGUUACAAAAAGAGCCUGGCUGAAUGGAAAGAUUUUAUUGGCAAAUAGAGCAGAGCACCACUGUGAUGGCUAGUUAUUUGUGUUUGUAAAUAACGAGCCACAUGUUCAGACCCUGUUUUUGUUUUUCCCAUUGAUCAGACAAAUCACAAUGUUAUUUCAUUCUCUGUUGUGCUGGGGGUUUUUCGUUGUUUUUUUAUUACUGUGCAAAAAAAGCAAAUUUUCAGUUUGAUGUUCUAUUCAAGUUAUUAAUAAAGUGUUGUUCUAAAUGUGUUUUACAUGGUGUUUAUAUGGUAUAGUUAUCUGAAUGGGG
This 1403-nucleotide long non-coding RNA is filed under the name Salarias fasciatus (jewelled blenny). RNAcentral describes it as "lncRNA (ENSSFAG00005026545.1)". The record is from RNAcentral. Lineage: Eukaryota; Metazoa; Chordata; Actinopteri; Blenniiformes; Blenniidae.